GCGUCUGUGUGCUCUGCCGGCGUUCAGAAGGGCCCACGUGCGUUAUCAAAGGCGAUGAAGGAGAGACGAAGAAAGGAAACAGAGACCAAGAGGCUCCUUACUAUGGUGCCACACCAGCGCGGCCACCAUGAGAAGGAAGAUGAGCAGAGGCAGGAGGGGGAGGAGGAGAGAAGGAAGAUGAGCAGAUGCCGCUAGAUCAGUCGCGUGUGGAGAGAAGAAGAAAAAACAGGUAAGAGACACCGGAGGUGCAACGUCUCAACUCAGGCAAGUCGAGUCGUCUCCACCCCUCAACGGCGAGCCACAAGAAGUCCUGCUACGAGAAGAGGUCGAGCGCGAGAGCUAGGUGGGUUCGGUCUUGGCCUAGAAAAGAAGUGAUCAAGUGGAACCCAAUGACAACGUUUCCUGAGACGGUUAACCUAAACUUCCUCGACAAUAAGUUCUUAAAGUUCGGUUCCUGUUACGAUAUCAGCAGACAUCUAGUCUCACGUUUCUGUUUUUUCUUCCCAGCUCCAUACCUCCAGCGGCGACCCCGCUACUAGGGACACGAGGCAUUCGAGCCACUCGACGAGCGACCUCUUAUGUUGGAUCUCUUUGCUCAUUUCUUUCCACAUGCUAGCGAGGAAUGUCUCGACCUCUACUACGUACGGCACGAGGCAUUCCAACCGCUCCACGGUGGCCUGGUUGAGCUCCUCGGCCAGGCAUAAACCCGGCCGUUCCAAUCUCUGCAGAGAACGCUGUACCUUCUGCAACAACUGCUGAAGGACCACACACACCUACUCCCAAGUUCAUCGUUCGGUUACUUGUACUCCUUAGUUCAGUUCUUCAAGGAGUUUUUCUGGUGGUUUGACAUACCAUUCCCGUUUCGUGAAGUAGUUUAGACACUACGGUAACUUCUUCGAGUCCUAGAACGGUUCCUCAACCGCCUGGACGCAUUUUCCAUGCUCGAACUGCAAGUAUCGUGAUCGUUAGUACGAUGGUAACUGGGAGCCCACAAUCGAGAUGUGUUUUUACAUCUCCUCGAACAACCCCAACUGGCGUGUUCCCUACUCGAAUAGUUUUGUGACUAAACACUCCUGCCCUCAAGAUUCCUGGUUAACUUCUGUUAGAGAUAACAACCACAACCACCCGACCCGUUCUGAUGUGAGUGGUUUCGUUAAAUACUCUUCUAGUUUCGGGUCAAACUUACACGCCGAAAACAGGGGCAUCCAGUCUUGCGUCUAUAGUUCUUUCAAAAGUUCCUGAAUGAGAUACCUGAACUGUUUCUUUUCAAGUUACUGUAAGUAUUAUGUCGUUUCCUACUUUUAGAUGAGUAGUUCCUUUAGUUACUUAAGGAAUACCUAUUCUCCAUGGAGUAACAUUAACUACUAUAUACCCCUUUUCUGUAUACCUUUAUAUAUCUAACACGAAACAUAUUUUUGUUUGAGGUAUCAGCCCAUUAGUGUUGAUGGGCGUUACACUCAAACAGACUUCGUACAGAGAGAAGGUCACUACUGUACUAAGUAUCUUACUUUGGAGAAAGACUACUUCUGAGCGCUUAUGAGAAGGUAUCUUCUUAUAAAGUUUCGCUCCUGUUUACAGGUUUUCAACGUCCAUCAUAGUUCUCUCUAGAACUUCUUUACACCACCACAUGGUAAUCGGUAGUAAUGUUAUCGAUCGGAUGAACGAUCAUUAGUUGCCCAUUUCGUUUUUAUACUCACCUACGUAAACGUGUUAAGCUAACCGGCACCUCAAUGUGUUCCACUAUAACACUUCCUCUACUUGUCCUAUAAUAGUGAGUCGAUAAUACUAAACGGUAGAGUAGACUUCGGAACAAAUAAUAUAGAUUCGUAGAAAGGACUUCUGAAACUCUAAUUAUCUCUAACCGACUAUACCUCCACCGAACGACUUCCCAAAUAGGUUACACUGUUUCUUCUUUGGUCCGACAAACUCUAGCCUCUCUCGAUGAAGUUACUCGAGUACUUGUCCUCGAACUAGGUCGGUCGCCUUUAGUUACUACUUCCUUGCCAUCAUUGAACGGCAUAUGUACUAUACCACGAAGUGGAAUAUACGAGUGACAGUUCACGCCUUUUAAAAUAGAGGUAUAACUUAUUACGACUCACCGUACGUGGAUUAGACGUUUCCUUCAAAGCGCCUAAUAGUGAAGUAUUAUAGUUCCGUUUCCAAGUCUUGGUAGUCAAACUAUCGUGAUCGGACAGUUUUCACUGCUGGAAACGACAAAAAAGAGGGCAACGAACACUAACCAACGGUAGAGAGAGUUCGAAGGUUAAAAAUGCACACGACCUAGAACCUUUAACACCGUCGGCACUUUCAUCGAGACCAGAGUUGGAGUUCAUACAACCCUUAAACUAAGUGGAUUCCAUGAAUCCCGAGUUCCCACGUCUACAAGUGCUUGAGGGUCACCUGUAUUCGUUCGACGUCGAAAACGUCUAUGACCUGUAUGUUCCUUGAUCUUAUUUACUCAAUGGACGUUCAUAACAAGUUGAUUCUUUAAACUAUACGGAUAGACAGCUAUCACCGAACUCCGACGGUUUUCCUUACCCCUUGAACUACAGGGAACUUCACGACCUUGCUCAUCCGAAUAGGAGUAGAGGAGUGUAACACCUUCUCAACUCCGUAGACUGUCUCCAAUACUGUGAGUCAUAAUUGACACUAUUGUACCUGCUCCUAGACUAACUAUAUAAUUAGUUCAGAGAUCCGUUUGACGUGUUUAACGUUUUAGACGUAUAACUACUACCACCGUCUAACUAUCUAACGUACACACUUUCAACCCACGGGGGAGGUUUGGAAGCAUCAAAACUAAGUACCCUGGGGAAGAAAAAGAAAAGCAGCAAUACGUCUGAAGGUUUCACCCAGUUAAGUUCCAGCGAAGGGGUGGAGAGGUCGGACCGGUAUCUACACCUUCUUGACGUUCCCCUACUGCAAGUCUAGUAACCCUACGACGGACGAGAAGCCAGAGACGCUGAACGACGUUUUGCUCACUACCCUUGCAACCAACACUCCCGGCUACGUAAGGUUAGACGCUCUACGACGUUCAAGAUGCCCAAAGACUGAACCGGUACGGAAAAAGGUGGACCUCGAUACGGUUCCCAAGUUGUGGAACUCAAGACCCAUAGAAUAACCAGCUAGCGCUAACCACUCCAACUGACACCGUACUUGGUGGAGGGAAGAGAGCUCGUACAGUUCCAAUGAGACGUCGCACUAUCCAAGUGGCAAUUGCCCCAGCUACUUCUCCACCUAUAUCGGUUCCGAAACGACUCCGCGCGUUGUCUUCGGGUAGGUUUUGCAGGGUGGUAACUUUAGAUAAGCUGUAUUCACGAGUGUAAGGAACGGCGGCCGGAACUUAUUUUAGAACCCUCGGUUUAUGAUCAUUAAGCUAGUCAACGGAAAGCUAUCCGUUGUUUGUUAAGUAACGCGGCACCGUCCGUGGUCGUAGAGCAAACUAACCACAUGGCGACGUCGAGGGCUAUUCGUUCCUAGUAAGAGAGGUUGCAUACAAGUCCGAGACAGAAGGCGCACAACAAGAACAAGUCCUACUUGAUAAAAUAAAAAAGACGCAUACGAAAGUCUUUACGUCGUGGAGUAAAGGAAGUAAGUCAGUUCUGAGCCGUGUUACAUUCCAACGUAAGUCAACCGUGAAUAAGUCACAACAAAACAUUGUCAUGAUGGAGAUGCAAACGUCGAAUAAGUGUAUGUCACAACAAAACAAAAAUAGCAGAAUAUCGCUUCUCAAUUAACUUGAGCCGAACAACCGAAGAGAACAGUGAAUAAGUCAGUUCUGAGCAUGUUAUUUUUCGUCAAC
This 3799-nucleotide ribosomal RNA is filed under the name Triticum aestivum (bread wheat). RNAcentral's name for it is "partial small subunit ribosomal RNA". Lineage: Eukaryota; Viridiplantae; Streptophyta; Magnoliopsida; Poales; Poaceae. The record is from RNAcentral.